Molecule: ribosomal RNA, 273 nt
Filed under: uncultured bacterium
Lineage: Bacteria
Description: partial 16S ribosomal RNA
Rfam family: Bacterial small subunit ribosomal RNA
Source: RNAcentral
UACGGAGGAUCCAAGCGUUAUCCGGAUUUAUUGGGUUUAAAGGGUGCGUAGGCGGAAUAGUAAGUCAGUGGUGAAAGCCUGCAGCUUAACUGCAGAAUUGCCAUUGAUACUGCUAAUCUUGAAUGUAGAUGAAGUGGGCGGAAUGUGUCAUGUAGCGGUGAAAUGCUUAGAUAUGACACAGAACACCGAUUGCGAAGGCAGCUCACUAAACUAAUAUUGACGCUGAGGCACGAAAGCAUGGGGAGCAAACAGGAUUAGAAACCCCCGUAGUCC